Molecule: non-coding RNA, 107 nt
Organism: Gossypium hirsutum (cotton)
Lineage: Eukaryota; Viridiplantae; Streptophyta; Magnoliopsida; Malvales; Malvaceae
Source: Rfam
AACCCAUGGUGAGGGAACCUUCUCAAUAAGUUCUUAUACCUCUCCCAUACAUCGUAUAGGGUCUAUAAAUCCAUUUGUAUGAAGGAAGAGAUAUCAUUCCUCAGCUU